This 468-nucleotide ribosomal RNA is filed under the name uncultured bacterium. RNAcentral's name for it is "partial 16S ribosomal RNA". It matches the Rfam family "Bacterial small subunit ribosomal RNA", at positions 28 to 507 of the family's 1533-position model. The record is from RNAcentral.
GACGAACGCUGGCGGCGUGCUUAACACAUGCAAGUCGAACGGAACGGCCCUGCUUUUGUGGGGUGCUCGAGUGGCGAACGGGUGAGUAACACGUGAGUAACCUGCCCUUGACUUUGGGAUAACUUCAGGAAACUGGGGCUAAUACCGGAUAGGAGCUCCUGCUGCAUGGUGGGGGUUGGAAAGUUUCGGCGGUUGGGGAUGGACUCGCGGCGUAUCAGCUUGUUGGUUGGGUAGUGGCUUACCAAGGCUUGGACGGGUAGCCGGCCUGAGAGGGUGACCGGCCACAUUGGGACUGAGAUGCGGCCCGGACUCCUACGGGAGGCAGAAGUGGGGAAUAUUACACAAUGGGCGGAAGCAUGAUGCAGCAAAGCCGCGUGCGGGAUGACGGCAUUCGGGUUGUAAACCAAUUUCGCCUGUGACGAAACGUGAGUGACGGUAAUGGGUAAAGAAGCACCGGCUAACUACGUG